ACGGGUGAGUAACACAUCGGAACGUGCCUAGUAGUGGGGGAUAACUACUCGAAAGAGUAGCUAAUACCGCAUGAGAUCUAAGGAUGAAAGCAGGGGACCUUCGGGCCUUGCGCUACUAGAGCGGCUGAUGGCAGAUUAGGUAGUUGGUGGGAUAAAAGCUUACCAAGCCGACGAUCUGUAGCUGGUCUGAGAGGACGACCAGCCACACUGGGACUGAGACACGGCCCAGACUCCUACGGGAGGCAGCAGUGGGGAAUUUUGGACAAUGGGCGAAAGCCUGAUCCAGCAAUGCCGCGUGCAGGAUGAAGGCCCUCGGGUUGUAAACUGCUUUUGUACGGAACGAAAAGACUCUCUCUAAUAAAGAGGGUUGAUGACGGUACCGUAAGAAUAAGCACCGGCUAACUACGUGCCAGCAGCCGCGGUAAUACGUAGGGUGCGAGCGUUAAUCGGAAUUACUGGGCGUAAAGCGUGCGCAGGCGGUUAUGUAAGACAGAGGUGAAAUCCCCGGGCUCAACCUGGGAACGGCCUUUGUGACUGCAUGGCUAGAGUGCGGCAGAGGGGGAUGGAAUUCCGCGU
RNAcentral lists this ribosomal RNA (576 nucleotides) under uncultured bacterium. Its description in RNAcentral is "bacterial SSU rRNA". It matches the Rfam family "Bacterial small subunit ribosomal RNA", at positions 102 to 674 of the family's 1533-position model. The record is from RNAcentral.